This 477-nucleotide ribosomal RNA is filed under the name uncultured organism. RNAcentral describes it as "partial 16S ribosomal RNA". It matches the Rfam family "Bacterial small subunit ribosomal RNA", at positions 333 to 801 of the family's 1533-position model. The record is from RNAcentral.
ACACUCCUGCGGGAGGCAGCAGUGGGGAAUAUUGCACAAUGGGCGCAAGCCUGAUGCAGCCAUGCCGCGUGUAUGAAGAAGGCCUUCGGGUUGUAAAGUACUUUCAGCGGGGAGGAAGGCGAUAAGGUUAAUAACCUUGUUGAUUGACGUUACCCGCAGAAGAAGCACCGGCUAACUCCGUGCCAGCAGCCGCGGUAAUACGGAGGGUGCAAGCGUUAAUCGGAAUUACUGGGCGUAAAGCGCACGCAGGCGGUCUGUCAAGUCGGAUGUGAAAUCCCCGGGCUCAACCUGGGAACUGCAUUCGAAACUGGCAGGCUAGAGUCUUGUAGAGGGGGGUAGAAUUCCAGGUGUAGCGGUGAAAUGCGUAGAGAUCUGGAGGAAUACCGGUGGCGAAGGCGGCCCCCUGGACAAAGACUGACGCUCAGGUGCGAAAGCGUGGGGAGCAAACAGGAUUAGAUACCCCUGUAGUCCCAUGAU